RNAcentral lists this ribosomal RNA (346 nucleotides) under uncultured bacterium. Its description in RNAcentral is "bacterial SSU rRNA". It matches the Rfam family "Bacterial small subunit ribosomal RNA", at positions 473 to 818 of the family's 1533-position model. The record is from RNAcentral.
CGGUACCGGGUGAGGAAGCACCGGCUAACUCCGUGCCAGCAGCCGCGGUAAUACGGAGGGUGCGAGCGUUGUCCGGAAUCAUUGGGCGUAAAGGGCGCGUAGGUGGCGGGACAAGCGUGCGGUGAAAGCUCGGGGCUCAACCCCGCGUCGGCCGUGCGAACUGUUUUACUUGAGCACUGUAGAGGCAGGCGGAAUUCCGGGUGUAGCGGUGGAAUGCGUAGAGAUCCGGAAGAACACCGGUGGCGAAGGCGGCCUGCUGGGCAGUGGCUGACACUGAGGCGCGACAGCGUGGGGAACAAACAGGAUUAGAUACCCUGGUAGUCCACGCCGUAAACGGUGGGAACUA